CUCGUCUCAAUAUAUUUAAAUGUGGAACAUUUCGUUUUAUAGGAGUGGGUGCUCGUAGUCUUCCUAAAAGUAACUAGCCACGGAUGAGGAUGCGCUUUACCAGCAUUGCCCUAUUUCAUGUUCUAGAGCCCGCGAGCUAAAUGGUCGCCAACGGGCAUGUGAAAGCACCGUCAUCGCUUCAGGUUAGCAGCAGUUUGUUCGUGGUUUGACCAGUGAUUUGUGUUGCGACAGCCAUGAAGGUCGUCGCUCUCCUCCUUGUGGUCUGCGUCUCCGUGGGCUGGGCGAAGCCUCUCUGCAUAGGCGGCAUCUGCAUUCCUACCAGCGAAGCUGCUGGGGGUGCCUCGGGCGAGGUCACCAGUGGUACAAGCAUUGGCCCUGGUGGUGUCACUAAGGUUUCGUCCGUCGUCGCCUCUGCAGGGGGAACGGCCAGAGGACCAUGUGCAAGCAGCUUCAAUACGGCAGCAGCCAAUAAAUUUAGCUCACAGACUAUCGUUGGCAAUACCGAUGAAGCCAACACGGAUGCCGUCUCAAUCCAACAAACCGGCUGCUGAAUGACUCAGCCACAGUCAUCUCGGCAUGCGCCGCAAUGGCACACAUGAAGCGCCUGUUACAUCCACGAACGUUGUGAUAUCGGCGUCGGUUGUGACAUGUGAUCGAAAUGUGCAAUACAGGCUUAUCCCCGACAUGACUGAUC
Molecule: long non-coding RNA, 694 nt
Organism: Pollicipes pollicipes
Lineage: Eukaryota; Metazoa; Arthropoda; Thecostraca; Pollicipedomorpha; Pollicipedidae
Exons: 2
Source: RefSeq, a predicted model, not a curated record